RNAcentral lists this ribosomal RNA (362 nucleotides) under uncultured eukaryote. RNAcentral describes it as "partial 18S ribosomal RNA". It matches the Rfam family "Eukaryotic small subunit ribosomal RNA", at positions 1470 to 1796 of the family's 1831-position model. The record is from RNAcentral.
CCCUUAGAUACCCCCGGCCGCACGCGUGCUACAAUGGACACGUCAACAAGUUCCAGCUGUUCUGUGUGGUGUAUUAGUGUUCGCACUCGCCGCGUAUUUUUGGAGGAAUGGCUAAUCUUUGAACCGUGCCCAAGGUUGGGAUCGCGGAGUGCAAUUCUUCCGCGUGAACAAGGAAUGUUUCGUAGACGCGAGUCAUCAACUCGCAUCGAUUACGUCCCUGCCCUUUGUACACACCGCCCGUCGCUCCUACCGAUUGGGUGUGCUGGUGAAAUGUUCGGAUCGGCCGUUUGUCGCGGUUUCCGCGGCUCGUGGCUGAGAAGUUCAUUAAACCCUCCCACCUAGAGGAAGGUGAAGUCGUAACA